UGCGCAGACGGUUUGUUAAGUCAAUUGUUUAAUUCCUCGGCCUAACUGAGGAUCAGCAGUAGAAACUGAUAAGCUAGAGUAUGAAAGAGGGAAGUGGAAUUCUCGGAGUAGCGGUAAAAUAGCGUAGAUCUCGAGAGGAACACCGAUGGCGAAGGCAGCUUCCUGGUUCAUUACUGACGUUCAUGCACGAAAGCGUGGGGAGCAAACA
Molecule: ribosomal RNA, 208 nt
Filed under: uncultured bacterium
Lineage: Bacteria
Description: partial 16S ribosomal RNA
Rfam family: Bacterial small subunit ribosomal RNA
Source: RNAcentral